Molecule: ribosomal RNA, 391 nt
Filed under: uncultured bacterium
Lineage: Bacteria
Description: bacterial SSU rRNA
Rfam family: Bacterial small subunit ribosomal RNA
Source: RNAcentral
GACGAACGCUGGCGGCGUGCUUAACACAUGCAAGUCGAGCGGUAAGGCCCUUUCGGGGGUACACGAGCGGCGAACGGGUGAGUAACACGUGGGUGACCUGCCCUUAGCUCUGGGAUAAGCCUGGGAAACUGGGUCUAAUACCGGAUAUGACUCCAUGACGCAUGUUGUGGGGUGGAAAGCCUUGUGCGGCUAGGGAUGGGCCCGCGGCCUAUCAGCUUGUUGGUGGGGUGAUGGCCUACCAAGGCGACGACGGGUAGCCGGCCUGAGAGGGCGACCGGCCACACUGGGACUGAGACACGGCCCAGACUCCUACGGGAGGCAGCAGUGGGGAAUCUUGCGCAGUGGGCGAAAGCCUGACGCAGCGACGCCGCGUGAGGGAUGACGGCCUCGG